This 403-nucleotide unclassified non-coding RNA is filed under the name soil metagenome. Its description in RNAcentral is "partial contains 5.8S ribosomal RNA, internal transcribed spacer 2, and large subunit ribosomal RNA". The stretch from base 1 to 121 matches the Rfam family "5.8S ribosomal RNA", at positions 35 to 154 of the family's 154-position model. The record is from RNAcentral.
GAUGAAGAACGUAGCGAAAUGCGAUAGGUAGUGUGAAUUGCAGAUGUAACGUGAAUCAUCGAAUCUUUGAACGCAAAUUGCACUCUCUGGUAUUCCGGGGAGUAUGCCUGUUUGAGGGUCGCCAAAUCAACAUCGAAAUUCAUUUGCUUUUGUAAAUGUUUAUCGGAUUUGAGCCGUCUUUUAUUUUUUUAAUUAAAGUGGCUUAAAAUGUAUUUUUUGGUAUCGAAAAACGUUAUUUUACGAUCAAAUUGAUUAAAAAAACAAACGUUUCGAAUGCCGUCUUUUAAUGUAAUACGCUUGACUGUGGUGUUAAUCAUAGUUUCAUUCGUAUACGAUUUUUUAAUUUUUGACCUCAAAUCAGGUAAGAACACCCGCUGAACUUAAGCAUAUCAAAAGCGGAGGA